RNAcentral lists this ribosomal RNA (440 nucleotides) under uncultured bacterium. RNAcentral's name for it is "partial 16S ribosomal RNA". It matches the Rfam family "Bacterial small subunit ribosomal RNA", at positions 338 to 795 of the family's 1533-position model. The record is from RNAcentral.
CCUACGGGAGGCAGCAGUGGGGAAUAUUGGACAAUGGGGGGAACCCUGAUCCAGCGACGCCGCGUGAGUGAAGAAGUAUUUCGGUAUGUAAAGCUCUAUCAGCAGGGAAGAAAAUGACGGUCCCUGACUAAGACGCCCCGGCUAACUACGUGCCAGCAGCCGCGGUAAUACGUAGGGGGCAAGCGUUAUCCGGAUUUACUGGGUGUAAAGGGAGCGUAGACGGUACAGCAAGUCUGAUGUGAAAGGUCGGGGCCCAACCCCGGGUGUGCAUUGGAAACUGUUGAACUGGAGUGAAGGAGAGGUAAGCGGAAUGCCUGGUGUAGCGGUGAAAUGCGUAGAUAUUAGGAGGAACACCAGUGGCGAAGGCGGCUUACUGGACUGUAACUGACGUUGAGGCUCGAAAGCGUGGGGAGCGAACAGGAUUAGAUACCCCUGUAGUC